UGAGGCUGCAAUGGGGAAAGGGAGAGGAUGAAGAGUAUCAGCCAUGCCCUCCAUUGUCUUUUCUGUUUUAUCUUUUCAGUCAUUCAAGAACAAAUAUUGCCUGACCACUGUAGUGAAUUUAAUAUAAAACUAAUCCCGACUCCCUGCCUUUUCUGUAUCUAGGCGUGGAAUCUCCCCCACCUCCAUGAAUCUGGGCUAGCCUGUGACUGGGCUUUGGUCAGCCGAAUAUGGCUGAUACGAUGGUGUGUCAAUUCCAAGCCUGCACCUCAAGAGGCCUUGGGUGCUUCUACUUACUCUCAUCUCCUCACCAGGCCCUGUGAACAGCCCGGGUUCGACUACUGGCUAAAGAAAAGUCACCUCAGCCCACAGCCAACCACCUGCCCAGCAGAAUCCAGAAGAGCUAUGCUACCAAACCCAGCCAAGAUCAGCAGUGUGUGUAGAUGACCUGCUUUCACAGGAGGGAUGCCAGGGAGACCAGAAGUACCACCCAGCUAAACCACAGACUUGUGAACUAAAGAAGAUUCAGACACCUCUGAAAAGCUCAACAAAUAGCCAAACUCUAAUUCUCAGUCCAGAUUCAGCCUGGAUACCCUGCUGCCCUUACAACAGUCUGUGAUAAGGAUACUGCAGCCAGAAGGGGGUAUUUUAGUUUAGCAGAUGUCAGGAAGCCUAAGGGAAAGCUAGUCAGCCUGCUGGGAGAGACACACAUGAGGAGUAUGGGUGCAGCUACACCCUACCAAUCUUUAAUAGGGCCACAAAGAUCCCAGUAAGUGUGGUGUGAUAGCAUUUCUUGUGCAAACCAGCAAGGGAGGCCAAUCUCCCCAUUUUGAAUUGAGUUGGAGCUGAAAUGAGACCGAGAGCCUCCAGAAUCAGAAGGAAGAUGCUGAGCUGCCCCAGACCCUUGAAUCAAGGCUCCAGCCCAGUUGAUCUAUAAUCUCUGAUGGCAGGGAAGCCCUCUUAGGGGAAUCCGAAUGACAUAUUAACUUCAGUUUAUAACCUGUCUCUACGCUUCUUUCAGAAUGCCAAGUUGCCUUAUCUAAUUCUAGCCCCUAGUUGCUACUGCUCAAUGUUGGAACCUCCAGUGAUAAAGUUCCUCGGUCGAUGCUAAGAGGAGAGCACUGUUAAGUGUGUAUGG
This is a long non-coding RNA of Mirounga angustirostris (Northern elephant seal), 1135 nucleotides long. RefSeq lists it as uncharacterized. Lineage: Eukaryota; Metazoa; Chordata; Mammalia; Carnivora; Phocidae. The record is from RefSeq and is a predicted model, not a curated record. The transcript has 2 exons.